This 624-nucleotide long non-coding RNA is filed under the name Erythranthe guttata (spotted monkey flower). RNAcentral's name for it is "long non-coding RNA (EGUT_LNC002898)". The record is from RNAcentral. Lineage: Eukaryota; Viridiplantae; Streptophyta; Magnoliopsida; Lamiales; Phrymaceae.
AUAAACCCUUUCGAAAUACAAAUCAAGGAGAAUUGGCGCGCUUUCCAUCGCAGCAACAAAUCGGCAAACGAAUCCACAAGCCCUUUCAGAGAAUGGUUCUAGCAAAACGAAUCAUUUCCUGGCCGUCAAUUCCACCAUUUGUUCAUCGUCGGCGGCGGCGGCGGCGGCGGUGGAACUAGGGUUAAUCGACUGUCAUGUAAUCCGCUGCGGAGACCACACUUUCAUCCACGAUUAGCUUAUCCGGUGGUAAGAAUCGAAGUUAAUUUGUGUGUUUAUUGCCAUAUUGAAGUUUGAUUUGCUUAAAAAAAAGUACAUUUCUGAUAAUUAUGUUGAACCUGUAAUCUGUAAGCAAAUCAUCGCAAUCAACAGUUGACUUUCGACAAUGUGUAAACAAAAGCUUGAUCAAGUCUGUUGCUUCAUAGGGUGACACUACUAGGUUUAAUUAGGUUAAAAUAACCAAGUCAAUUUUUAAUAAUCAAGUCAAUCCCCUAUAUUACUUUCUCCCAUCCAAGGCUCUCAUCAGUUUCUGCUUCAUGUACUUGUGUUAACAUUUUAAAUCUUGUGAUAACUAGCAGCUUGAAUUCUUGUCAAUUGUUUAAUGUGAGAAUCUGAUGCAUGCCUAAU